UACGUAGGGUGCGAGCGUUAAUCGGAAUUACUGGGCGUAAAGCGUGCGCAGGCGGUUUUUUAAGUCAGAUGUGAAAUCCCCGGGCUUAACCUGGGAAUGGCAUUUGGGACUGCAAGGCUGGAGUGCGGCAGAGGAGACUGGAAUUCCUGGUGUAGCAGUGAAAUGCGUAGAUAUCAGGAGGAACACCGAUGGCGAAGGCAGGUCUCUGGGCUGACACUGACGCUCAUGCACGAAAGCGUGGGGAGCAAACAGG
This 253-nucleotide ribosomal RNA is filed under the name uncultured bacterium. RNAcentral describes it as "partial 16S ribosomal RNA". It matches the Rfam family "Bacterial small subunit ribosomal RNA", at positions 524 to 776 of the family's 1533-position model. The record is from RNAcentral.